UACGGGGGGGGCAAGCGUUGUUCGGAAUUACUGGGCGUAAAGGGCUCGUAGGCGGUCUGUCGCGUCGAUCGUGAAAACUUGGGGCUUAACCCUGAGCUUGCGGUCGAUACGGGCAUGACUGGAGUUCGGCAGGGGAGACUGGAAUUCCUGGUGUAGCGGUGAAAUGCGCAGAUAUCAGGAGGAACACCGGUGGCGAAGGCGGGUCUCUGGGCCGAUACUGACGCUGAGGCGCGAAAGCGUGGGGAGCAAACAGG
RNAcentral lists this ribosomal RNA (254 nucleotides) under uncultured bacterium. RNAcentral's name for it is "partial 16S ribosomal RNA". It matches the Rfam family "Bacterial small subunit ribosomal RNA", at positions 524 to 776 of the family's 1533-position model. The record is from RNAcentral.